UAAGUUGUGUAGAAUACAUACUAAUUUCAAUUGAUAAAUAUUACGCUACUUAAAAUUCUACUUUCCUUUAUUUUAAUUAUGAUUAAUGCUAUUUAUUCAACAAAUUCGAUUGAUUGAUGCGAAUUGAUUUUCUGUUACGAGCAAUUGAGGAAACAAUAGCCAGUCCGAAAGCUGCUUCGGCGGCUGCAAUAGCUAUAACAAAAAUUGA
This 208-nucleotide long non-coding RNA is filed under the name Trifolium pratense (red clover). RNAcentral describes it as "long non-coding RNA (TPRA_LNC002008)". The record is from RNAcentral. Lineage: Eukaryota; Viridiplantae; Streptophyta; Magnoliopsida; Fabales; Fabaceae.